Mycena galopus ATCC 62051 is the source of this 91-nucleotide non-coding RNA. The record is from the annotation of a GenBank genome assembly. Lineage: Eukaryota; Fungi; Basidiomycota; Agaricomycetes; Agaricales; Mycenaceae.
UCCCUCUUAGCUCAGUUGGUAGAGCGCGUCACUAGUACUUCAGGUUGAGAAUUUCAUGACGAGGUCAGUCGUUCAAAUCGGCUAGCGGGAA